RNAcentral lists this unclassified non-coding RNA (201 nucleotides) under Glomeromycotina sp. RNAcentral describes it as "partial contains small subunit ribosomal RNA, internal transcribed spacer 1, and 5.8S ribosomal RNA". The stretch from base 1 to 47 matches the Rfam family "Eukaryotic small subunit ribosomal RNA", at positions 1785 to 1831 of the family's 1831-position model. Lineage: Eukaryota; Fungi; Glomeromycota. The record is from RNAcentral.
AAAGUCGUAACAAGGUUUCCGUAGGUGAACCUGCGGAAGGAUCAUUAUAAAAUUUUUUACAUUUAUUGUAAAAAAAAAAUGUAUUCAAAACCCAUACUCUUAAAAAAACAUUAUAUAUUUUUUAUAUAAUAUAUAUAUAUAAAAAUUAUUUAAAUAAUAAUUUAAAAAAGACAACUUUCAACAACGGAUCUCUUGGCUCUC